AUCGAGGGUAAAAAAGUCAGUGUCUACAGACAGCUUCCAUGAACCUUUGCUUUGGUAUUACAAUGACAUGCACUUCAUAAAAGACCAGUUGGAAAUCGCACAAACCGAAACUUCUGAACAACCGACUCCGGAUGAACACUCGCAAUCACAACUCAGUUUCGAAAGUGUAGGGUCUCCUUAUGACGUAGUUACACCCCUAACUCCGAAACCAGCCAUCCCUGUAAAGACGGGUAAAAAAAGGAAGGCGGGCCUAAUAACACUGAUCAAUUAGUGGGACUAGCGAAUGAAUAUUUCAAGCGACAUGAAACUGAAGGAGAUACUUUGGCUAAGGGAUGGGCUAUGAAAUUAAAAAAGAUAACUCCAGACCAACGACACUUCGCCGAAAAAAUUAUAAAUUACACGCUUUUUUAAGCAGAAAUGGACAAUUUAACAAGGGAAAGAGUGCGUUUCUGAUCCCUCCCUUUUCGUUGGUCACCCUCGCUACCUUCAUCGUCAUCUUCUUCAAUAAAUAGUUGGUAAGAUACUCCAACCCAGGACAGACGCUGUACAUUUCGCAUCCAAGUGAAAUCCCUUCAUACCCAGAGCAAUAUCACGAAAAGUCUGAUAAAGAUAAUGCUGCUACGUUCUUCUCCUCAUUUACCUCAAUGUAAACUUGUGCCCUAAUCUUUUCAGUUCAGCAAUAAUGCACAUUACCUGUGCGAUAUCUGUAUUAUCAGUGAAGUGUAAUUAUUUUUUUUUCUUGAAAUAUAAAGAGAUUUAAUUGGGCAAUAAUUUCUUACCUGGAUGUUUUCCUUCAAUGCCUUGAUAAUUGCAGAGCUAGUUUCCAUUAUGAUGAGCUCCAGAGUCUGCGGAGAAAUGACACGCGUGAAUUUCAGGUUUUCUAAAUCCAUGCCAGAUGCUAGGUACCUCAACGUGACAAUCUCUGAUUUGCAGGAAUCGUCUCACGCAUUCUCGUAUCCAUCUUCUCGAUGUCUUGGCAGAAACUUUCUUGGUCCAUGCGAAGAAAAUUCCUAUAACUCUCUGGUUCCUAACCACUAAAAAAGUUAAGAUGUUGAUGAGUGAAGCGGUUCCUCAUUUUAUACCAGACCUUAGACUACCACCUUUUUUUUGUAGUUUCUCCCCUUCACAGCAACCAAUGUUAAGGUCAGGAAGCCCAAAUCUACUUUUGAUACCUUUAUACGCUCCACACUCCUCCUCUUCUAAGCUUCGACUGAGAGUUUUGAUCAAAAUAUUGAUGUGUUGAUUGAAGCACGCUUGAAGCGCCCAUCAAUAGGACCCGCAAGCAUUUGAUCAAGCCGCUUGAUAAUGUAGGGCCUACUUUACUUUAUGCUUUGCAACUUGUAUGUAUGUAGAUAUUGGGGUUCAUAUACACUGCAGCUCAUAGAAUCUAUUGUGUCCCCCUUUCUUACUGUGAUACUGUGGAACUUUGUGUUUACAGCUGGUAUGUGGGAUGGCUGUAGUUGCCAGAGAUCUUCGUAUAUUUCAUACAUUUUCAGGUAUAGGGCUCUGAAAUCAGUAGUGUUUCACAUUUAGAGAGAAAUUCAAACCCUUCCUAAACUUUUUGUCGAAGUUAGAAAAAAAAUGCAAAACAUUACAAUUUCCGAUAGAGAGAUUUCUUUUAUUUUAUAAUUAUGUUAUUUUAUCCAAAUCUAAUAAUUUUUCAGCUAAAUGUGCUCCUAAAUAUAUUCCUUGUAUUGUCAACAAAGUUAUUUCUAAAUUAAUUUAUAAAUUAAAAGAUGUUUCUGGUAAUGACCUAGGUAACUGGCAGAUUUAUUAUUGACGUAGAUGAAAAUCUUCCCGAUAAUGAUUCUUCAGAUCAACAUUCUGGUUUUCCAGACUUAUCUGGCAAUAAUUAUAAUUUGCGAAUCAGAUUCGACAGUGCUACUGAUUAAUUCAAAGAUUUUUGUUUUUCAUUUAGAUUUUUGCAUGAUUAUACUUAUCUACCUUUUCAUUUCAGCCCCAUAAAAGGUUAUUAGUUUUUUAACUAAAAAUAAUCAAGCAAUUUAAAACAAAAUUAUAAAAAAUUUUUUCUCCGGUGGCGUAAAAAAUAGGGGGAUAAAAGUCUAUUUAUCUAUUUAUAACCCAGAAGUAUGGUAGCGAAUAUCACACAUAGUUAUUAUAUUUUUUUUUGAAAAUUAUUGUAAAUGUUCUCAUCUUAUUGUUGAAAUGUUUAGCAUUUCAUUAUCUUUUUCUCAGCACAUGUUUAACAUUUCAUUUUUUGAUCAAGUUUACCGUUCCAAUGCCAAAAUAUAUUACUACUAAACAUAUUCUCCUCUUAAGUGUUUCUUCUUUCUUUGCAAACCAGACCUCCACAGCUUUUAUUACCUCCUCGAUAGAAGAAAAUUUACGACCUUUUAAAUUUUUCACUUAAGGAAAGAAAUGAUAGUCGGACGGAGCCAAAUCUGGUGAAUAAGGGGGGUGUUCUAGUAAUUAAAACCUUAAAUCACGAAUUUUUUGCAUGGUAACAUGAGAUUUGUGUACAGGGGCGUUAUCCUGCAAAAACAAAAAAACCUUUGGAUAGCUUUCCGCGUCUUUUCUAGUUUCAGUUAUUAUUCUACCCUUAUCCAAAAAAUCAAUAAUGAUUACUCCAUGGCAAUCCCAAAAAACUGAAGCAAGAACUUUUCCAGCAGAUUUUUGGAUCUAGGAGAACCUGAACGUCGCCAUUCCAUGUUGCUUUGUUUCUGGAUUUAGAAAUUAAACCAAGUCUCAUCCAUAGUAACAAUUCGGUUUAAGAAGUCUACAUCGUUUUCAAAGCGAACGCGAUGCUUCUACCCUUGCUUCUUACCCUUGCAUGCAUUAUGGGGGAAUAAUGUUGGUCACUUCACCGGAAAGUUCAUCAAUCGAAUUAUCACAGAAAAAGUGUCACAAGAAGUUUCAAAGAAAAAAUGAAAAGAAAAUAUAGACAAAUUCCAGUUGAUAAGUAAAACCUGUAUUAUCUCACUACAUCACACUGUAAAUACAAACC
Long non-coding RNA from Diorhabda carinulata, 2965 nucleotides. RefSeq lists it as uncharacterized. The transcript is spliced from 2 exons. The record is from RefSeq and is a predicted model, not a curated record. Lineage: Eukaryota; Metazoa; Arthropoda; Insecta; Coleoptera; Chrysomelidae.